This is a transfer RNA of Salipiger mucosus DSM 16094, 84 nucleotides long. It matches the Rfam family "tRNA". From Rfam's summary of the family: Transfer RNA (tRNA) molecules are approximately 80 nucleotides in length. Their secondary structure includes four short double-helical elements and three loops (D, anti-codon, and T loops). NCBI's taxonomy places the organism in Bacteria, Pseudomonadati, Pseudomonadota, Alphaproteobacteria, Rhodobacterales, Roseobacteraceae. The record is from Rfam.
GCGGUCGUGGCGGAAUUGGUAGACGCGCAGCGUUGAGGUCGCUGUGGGGUAACUCCCGUGGAAGUUCGAGUCUUCUCGACCGCA